This 208-nucleotide small RNA is filed under the name Polaromonas sp. RNAcentral's name for it is "Manganese sequence". It matches the Rfam family "Manganese Mn2+ riboswitch aptamer (yybP-ykoY)". From Rfam's summary of the family: This RNA was originally discovered in E. coli during a large scale screen and was named SraF. Lineage: Bacteria; Pseudomonadati; Pseudomonadota; Betaproteobacteria; Burkholderiales; Comamonadaceae. The record is from RNAcentral.
CCCGCUGUCAUUGGGGAGUAGCCGCCCUUCUUUACUGAAAGGGGUUUGCGUCAACAGACUUGUCUGGCCUUGCUAAAAAAGGCCGACAUGGCGCAAACAGCAGUUAGCCUGGCGAGACCUUUGACUGCACAGCCUCCAGAACUUGUAAAAAGCUUCGGGCCGGGGAUGUCGUGCAGUCAUUGGUUUUUUUGAUCCGGCCUGAGCUGUU